UGGGGAAUUUUGGACAAUGGGCGAAAGCCUGAUCCAGCAAUGCCGCGUGUGAAGAAGGCCUUCGGGUUGUAAAGCACUUUUGUCCGGAAAGAAAUCCUUGGCUCUAAUACAGUCGGGGGAUGACGGUACCGGAAGAAUAAGCACCGGCUAACUACGUGCCAGCAGCCGCGGUAAUACGUAGGGUGCAAGCGUUAAUCGGAAUUACUGGGCGUAAAGCGUGCGCAGGCGGUUUGCUAAGACCGAUGUGAAAUCCCCGGGCUCAACCUGGGAACUGCAUUGGUGACUGGCAGGCUAGAGUAUGGCAGAGGGGGGUAGAAUUCCACGUGUAGCAGUGAAAUGCGUAGAGAUGUGGAGGAAUACCGAUGGCGAAGGCAGCCCCCUGGGCCAAUACUGACGCCCAUGCACGAAAGCGUGGGGAGCAAACAGGAUUAGAUACCCUGGUAGUCCACGCCCUAAACGAUGUCAACUAGUUGUUGGGGAUUCAUUUCCUUAGUAACGUAGCUAACGCGUGAAGUUGACCGCCUGGGGAGUACGGUCGCAAGAUUAAAACUCAAAGGAAUUGACGGGGUCAUAGCUGUUUCCU
This 583-nucleotide ribosomal RNA is filed under the name uncultured bacterium. RNAcentral describes it as "partial 16S ribosomal RNA". It matches the Rfam family "Bacterial small subunit ribosomal RNA", at positions 355 to 1375 of the family's 1533-position model. The record is from RNAcentral.